UUGGGGGUCUGUGGGUGCUGUGGGUCUGGGGGCUUUGGGGUCUCGGGUCUGUGGGUCGGGGGGGGUGGGUUCGGGGGUCCCUGGGUGCUGUGGGUCUGGGGGCUGUGGGGUCUCUGGACCUGUGGGUCUGGGGGCUCCCCCCAAAUCUCGCUCUGCAGGCAGCAGGAGAUGCAGGGCAGCGGCGCAGGGCGACACGGUGCAGGUAGGGGCGCUUGGGGGGCUGCCCCAUAACUGGGAGCUCUGCCCCAUAAGCUGAAGCUCUGCCCCAUAACUGGGAGCUCUGCCCCAUAACUCGCAGCUCAGCUCUGCCCCAUAACUGAGAGCUCUGCCCCAUAACUCGGAGCUCUGCCCCACAGCCUGGAGCUCUGCCCCAUAAGUUGCAGCUCUGCCCCAUAGCCUGGAGCUCUGCCCCAUAAGUUGAAGCUCUGCACCAUAGCUUGGAGCUCUGCCCCAUAACUGGGAGCUCUGCCCCAUAAGUUGAAGCUCUGCCCCAUAACUGGGACCUCUGCCCCACAGCCUGGAGCUCUGCCCCCUAAGUUGGAGCUCUGCCCUAGAGCCUGGAGCACUGCCCCAUAAGUUGAAGCUCUGCCCCAUAAGUUGGAGCUCUGCCCCAUAAGUUGGAGCUCUGCCCCACAGCCUGGAGCUCUGCCCCAUAAGUUGAAGCUCUGCCCCAUAACUGGGAGCACUGCCCCAUAAGUUGAAGCUCUACCCCGUAGCCUGGAGCUCUGCCCCAUAACUCGGAGCUCUGCCCCACAGCCUGGAGCUCUGCCCCAUUACCUGGAGCUCUGCCCCACAGCCUGGAGCUCUGCCCCAUAACUUGGAGCUCUGCCCCAUAACUCGGAGCUCUGCCCCACAGCCGGGGCCCCGACCCACUCCGUCACACGUUUCCCCACAGAGCGUCGCGAUGGGGACGGCGCACGCAGGGACACAGUCGUGAACGGCUGCUAUGGGGCCGCUGUGGGGUGGACGUGUGGGGCAGCUAUGGGGUGGCUAUGGGGCCGCUGUGGGGCCGCUAUGGGGCCGCAGUGGGGCAGCAGCUGCGUGGCAAUAAAGAGUUUGGCAGCGCCGACCCCGAGCCCCAUUGUCCCCAUUGUCCCCAUUGUCCCCAUUUUCCCCAUUAGUCCCCAUUAUUUCCCAUUAGUCCCCAUUAUUUCCCAUAAUUCCCAUUAUUCCCAUUAUUCCCCAUUAUUCUCUUUAUUCCCCAUUAUUCUCAUUAUUCCCCAUUAUAUCCCAUAAUUCGCAUUAUUCUCCAUUAUUCCCAUUAGUCCCCAUUGUUUCCCGUUAUGUCCCAUUGUUCCCCGUUAUUUCCCAUUAUUCCCUAUUAUUUCCCAUAAUUCCCCUAAUUCCCAUUAUUCCCCAUUAUUCUCUUUAUUCCCCAUAAUUCCCAUUAUUCCACAUUAUUCCCAUUGUUUCCCAUUAUUCCCAUUAUUCCCCGUUAGUCCCCAUUAUUCCCAUUAUUUCCCAUAAUUCCCCAUUAUUCCCCAUAAUUCCCCAUUUCCCUAUAAUUCCCAUUAUCCCCAUUUUCCCCAUUAGUCCCCAUUAUUUCCCAUUAUUCCCCAUUAUUUCCCCAAAUUCCCAUAAUUCCCAUUAUUCCCCAUUAUUCCCAUUAGUCCCCAUUGUUUCCCAUUAUUCCCAUUAUUCCCAUUAUUCCCAUUAUUUCCCAUUGUUUCCCAUUAUUCCCAUUACUCCCCGUAAUUCCCAUAUUCCCCAUUAUUUCCCAUUAUCCUCAUUAUUCCCAUAUCCCCAUUAUCCCCAUUAUUCCCCAUUAUUCCCCAUUAUUCCCAUUAUUCCCCGUAAUUCCCAUAAUUCCCAUUGUUCCCCAUUGUUCCCCAUUAUUCCUCAUUUCCC
This 1848-nucleotide long non-coding RNA is filed under the name Phasianus colchicus (ring-necked pheasant). RNAcentral's name for it is "lncRNA (ENSPCLG00000018872.1)". Lineage: Eukaryota; Metazoa; Chordata; Aves; Galliformes; Phasianidae. The record is from RNAcentral.